GGGGGGACGCUUACCACUUUGUGGUUCAUGACUGGGGUGAAGUCGUAACAAGGUAGCGCUAGGGGAACCUGGCGCUGGAUCACCUCCUUAAACGAUGAU
Molecule: ribosomal RNA, 99 nt
Filed under: Vibrio parahaemolyticus
Lineage: Bacteria; Pseudomonadati; Pseudomonadota; Gammaproteobacteria; Vibrionales; Vibrionaceae
Description: partial 16S ribosomal RNA
Rfam family: Bacterial small subunit ribosomal RNA
Source: RNAcentral